This 460-nucleotide ribosomal RNA is filed under the name uncultured bacterium. Its description in RNAcentral is "partial 16S ribosomal RNA". It matches the Rfam family "Bacterial small subunit ribosomal RNA", at positions 338 to 795 of the family's 1533-position model. The record is from RNAcentral.
CCUACGGGUGGCAGCAGUGAGGAAUCUUGCUCAAUGGACGAGAGUCUGAACCAGCCAAGUAGCGUGAAGGAUGACUGCCCUAUGAGUGGUAAACUUCGUUUAUAAAGGAAUAAAACGAGGCACGUGUGCCUUUUUGCAUGGACUUUAUGAAUAAGGAUCGUCUAACUCCGGGCCAGCAGCCGCGGUAAUACGGAGGAUCCGAGCGUUAUCCGGAUUUGUUGGGUUGAAAGGGAACGUAGAUGGGUUGUUAAGUCAGUUGUGAAAGUUUGCGGCUCAACCGUACAAUUGCAAUUGAUACUGGCAGUCUUGAGUGCAGUUGAGGUGGGCGGAAUUCGAGGUGUAGCGGUGAAAUGCUUAGAUAUCUCGAAGAACCCCGAUUGCGAAGGCAGCUUACUAAACUGUGACUGACAUUGAUGUUCGAAAGUGUGGGUAGCAAACAGGAUUAGAUACCCUAGUAGUC